This 57-nucleotide transfer RNA is filed under the name Salmo salar (Atlantic salmon). It matches the Rfam family "tRNA", at positions 8 to 63 of the family's 71-position model. Rfam says of the family: Transfer RNA (tRNA) molecules are approximately 80 nucleotides in length. Their secondary structure includes four short double-helical elements and three loops (D, anti-codon, and T loops). Lineage: Eukaryota; Metazoa; Chordata; Actinopteri; Salmoniformes; Salmonidae. The record is from Rfam by way of RNAcentral.
UGGCUCAGUGGUAGAGCAUGGUGUUUGCAACGCCAGGGUUGUGGGUUUGUUUCCCAC